RNAcentral lists this transfer-messenger RNA (322 nucleotides) under Holosporaceae bacterium. It matches the Rfam family "Alphaproteobacteria transfer-messenger RNA". Rfam says of the family: Bacterial tmRNA, also known as 10Sa RNA or SsrA, is named for its dual tRNA and mRNA-like properties. Its role is to liberate the mRNA from a stalled ribosome. Lineage: Bacteria; Pseudomonadati; Pseudomonadota; Alphaproteobacteria; Holosporales; Holosporaceae. The record is from RNAcentral.
UUUAUGGUAUUUAAAAACAUUUUCUGGUAUAUAAUGACCUUGUUACUUUGGUAACUAUGGUGAUAAACAUUAUGAAUAAUAGGCGCUGCGGACCCGGGGGCGGAGCCCGGCAUCUCCACCAGAUUCUGGGGAUGAAUAGAUUCGACGCACGUUGAAAGGCAUGAUUUUCAUCCGGAAUGGUUUACGUUAUAGAACCAAAAAUAUAAAUGCGAACGAUAAUCUUGUCGCAUGCAACGAUAAUAUGCAGAGCGAGGCAAUUGCUUUCGCUGCUUAAUUAGCGUAGACGCGGUUUGGGGGAGCCGGGCAACAGAAAUCCCCCGUA